This is a transfer RNA of 86 nucleotides. It matches the Rfam family "tRNA". Rfam says of the family: Transfer RNA (tRNA) molecules are approximately 80 nucleotides in length. Their secondary structure includes four short double-helical elements and three loops (D, anti-codon, and T loops). The record is from Rfam.
GGUUGUGUAGUGUAGUGGUUAUCACUUUGGAUUUUGAUCGCUUGUCAACUCUUCCAAAAACCCCGGUUCGAAUCCGGGCACGACCU